CAGCACUUACCAAGGCAGGCAAAUGAGAAGGGAUUUGGGUUCAGGGGGACUUUAAAGUUUGGAGAAGUUAAAGCCAGGCAAUGACUCAAAUCUGGUCCUUAUCUGUUUGAGAGCAGAUCUGUAGAUAGGAACCUGGCAGGAAAGGGAUCGCUUGAAGCAGCACCUCCACACUACAAUUCACCCACCAGAGAAGAGAAACUUCAUCCACCUAUCUCCAAGGAUGGUCAGAAAUGUCUCCUGGACUGUAACCACAGCAGGAUUCCAGGCCUUCUCUCAGGGGCCUGCCUCCUCUGCCUCAUCUCUGCUUGUUACAGACCCAUUUCAGCGUCACCUGGGGGAAGCAGCAGGAGCAGCUUCUCCCAGAAGGGAGCAGAAGUGGAGCUUUGCAGUGAAGGCCCUGUACCCCACAGAGAUGCUCCCAGACACCUGCCCUGUGGAAGAA
Cyanistes caeruleus (blue tit) is the source of this 442-nucleotide long non-coding RNA. RefSeq lists it as uncharacterized. NCBI's taxonomy places the organism in Eukaryota, Metazoa, Chordata, Aves, Passeriformes, Paridae. The record is from RefSeq and is a predicted model, not a curated record.